Molecule: ribosomal RNA, 207 nt
Filed under: uncultured Sedimentibacter sp.
Lineage: Bacteria; Bacillati; Bacillota; Tissierellia
Description: partial 16S ribosomal RNA
Rfam family: Bacterial small subunit ribosomal RNA
Source: RNAcentral
UGAGUAGGCGGUUGCAUAUGUCAGAUGUAAAAGGCACAGGCUUAACUUGUGUUAGCAUUUGAAACUGCGCGACUUGAGUGCAGGAGAGGUAAGUGGAAUUCCUAGUGUAGCGGUGAAAUGCGUAGAUAUUAGGAGGAACACCAGUGGCGAAGGCGACUUACUGGACUGUAACUGACGCUGAGUCACGAAAGCGUGGGUAGCAAACAG